This 201-nucleotide ribosomal RNA is filed under the name uncultured bacterium. Its description in RNAcentral is "partial 16S ribosomal RNA". It matches the Rfam family "Bacterial small subunit ribosomal RNA", at positions 162 to 355 of the family's 1533-position model. The record is from RNAcentral.
GCUAAUACCGGAUAACAACACUAGACGCAUGUCUAGAGUUUAAAAGAAUGGUUCUGCUAUCACUCUUGGAUGGACCUGCGGUGCAUUAGCUAGUUGGUAAGGUAACGGCUUACCAAGGCAAUGAUGCAUAGCCGAGUUGAGAGACUGAUCGGCCACAUUGGGACUGAGACACGGUCCAAACUCCUACGGGAGGCAGCAGCC